This 150-nucleotide ribosomal RNA is filed under the name uncultured eukaryote. Its description in RNAcentral is "partial small subunit ribosomal RNA". It matches the Rfam family "Eukaryotic small subunit ribosomal RNA", at positions 1651 to 1801 of the family's 1831-position model. The record is from RNAcentral.
CCCUGCCAUUUGUACACACCGCCCGUCGCUCCUACCGAUUGAGUGGUCCGGUGAAUAAUUCGGACCACGGCAGGAUUCAGCUUCUGGACACUGCUGUGGAAAGUUUAGUGAACCUUACCACUUAGAGGAAGGAGAAGUCGUAACAAGGUU